GCUUAGCAUAUCAAUAAGCGGAGGAAAUCAGGGCAAACCAACAGGGAUUGCCCUAGUAACGGCGAGUGAAGCGGCAAGAGCUCAAAUUUGAAAUCUGGCUCCUUUGGAGUCCGAGUUGUAAUUUGUAGAGGGUGCUUUGGUGUCGGCUAUGGCCUAAGUUCCUUGGAACAGGACGUCACAGAGGGUGAGAACCCCGUAUGUGGCUGCUAGCCUUCACCAUGUAAAGCCCCUUCGACGAGUCGAGUUGUUUGGGAAUGCAGCUCUAAAUGGGAGGUAAAUUUCUUCUAAAGCUAAAUAUUGGCCAGAGACCGAUAGCGCACAAGUAGAGUGAUCGAAAGAUGAAAAGCACUUUGGAAAGAGAGUCAAAAAGCACGUGAAAUUGUUGAAAGGGAAGCGCUUGCAGCCAGACUUGCUCGUAGUUGCUCAUCCGAGCUUUUGCUCGGUGCACUCUUCUGCGAGCAGGCCAGCAUCAGUCCGGGCGGUUGGAUAAAGGCUCUGGGAAUGUAGCUCUCUUCGGGGAGUGUUAUAGCCCAGGGUGUCAUGCAACCAGUCUGGACUGAGGUCCGCGCAUCUGCUAGGAUGCUGGCGUAAUGGCUGUAAGCGGCCCGUCUUGAAACACGGACCAAGGAGUCUAACAUCUAUGCGAGUGUUUGGGUGUCAAGCCCGGGCGCGCAAUGAAAGUGAACGGAGGUGGGAACCCUUCGGGGCGCACCAUCGACCGAUCCUGAUGUCUUCGGAUGGAUUUGAGUAAGAGCAUAGCUGUUGGGACCCGAAAGAUGGUGAACUAUGCCUGAAUAGGGUGAAGCCAGAGGAAACUCUGGUGGAGGCUCGCAGCGGUUCUGACGUGCAAAUCGAUCGUCAAAUUUGGGCAUAGGGGCGAAAGACUAAUCGAACUAUCUAGUAGCUGGUUCCUGCCGAGUCUCC
Molecule: ribosomal RNA, 924 nt
Filed under: Hermatomyces tectonae
Lineage: Eukaryota; Fungi; Ascomycota; Dothideomycetes; Pleosporales; Hermatomycetaceae
Description: partial large subunit ribosomal RNA
Rfam family: Eukaryotic large subunit ribosomal RNA
Source: RNAcentral